CCUGGCUUGCCAGGUGUCCUUAGUGGCGCACGGGUGAGUAACGCGUGGGAAUCUGCCCAAGAGUGGGGAAUAACUAUUGGAAACGAUAGCUAAUACCGCAUACGCCCUCCGGGGGAAAGGCUUCGGCCGCUCAUGGAUGAUCCCGCGUCUGAUUAGCUUGUUGGUGAGGUAACGGCUCACCAAGGCGACGAUCAGUAGCUGGUCUGAGAGGAUGAUCAGCCACACUGGGACUGAGACACGGCCCAGACUCC
Molecule: ribosomal RNA, 251 nt
Filed under: uncultured bacterium
Lineage: Bacteria
Description: partial 16S ribosomal RNA
Rfam family: Bacterial small subunit ribosomal RNA
Source: RNAcentral